UCCCGCUUAGAUAAAAUUUCCCAAAUAUUCCCUCUACUCCAAAAUUUCCCAAAUAACUGAACUCAAAAGUCAAAACCCUCUCUUUCACCAUCUUCCCUCUGCAACAAAAUUCCCUAAAUAAUUGAACUCAAUACCCAAAUCAACCAAGAUGGGCAUGCCGGAACAAAGACAUCCAUUUGGAUUUCAACGAGGAAAUGUGUAAUACCUCGCCGCAGCUUUGCAAACUCGUCACCGCAACUUCGCGACCUGGCCGCCGCCGCCACCGCUAUGCACGUCAAUGUUAAAGGACUUCGUCAAGCAGAUUGUUCAAAAAGUUGAGGAUGGAGAUUCUGCCCUUCAACUUACCUGUCUCUAUGGUCAUCUGUCUUGCAUCCAAGUGAGUUUAGGGAGAAAAAUCUAUUGUUAGAGGCUAAGGAUGAAGACUGUGGAAUUCCUCUGCAUGAUGCUUGUGUUGGAGUAUUGACUAUUGAGGGUGGGGAGUCAUAGAUCACUAGAGGGCAGGGGCGGACCUGUACUUGUAAUCUCUAUCACCAAAGAAGUUAAGAAGGUGUAAAAUUCUUAACAAGAUCUGAAUACGGAACACACCAGUUGACAAGCCUGAAGAAGCUACUGUUAAUGAUGGAAUGAAUCUUAUUGAGGUAAAUACGAACAAAAACACAAGAGAGUUUUACAUGUUGAGCUUGUGGAGUUGUGGCCAGAUAGUAAUACAGCAGGAAGGGGAGGUGUGUCAUCCAAUAGUGGUUUUAGCUGAGAAAGUGAUAUUUAUAUCUGGAUGCAAGAGGGUAUUUGCAAGCAUGAUCUUUGAAGCACCCUCUAACGGUGGCUGCUACUGAGAAAGCUAAAAUAAAUCUAUAAAGCAAGAGAGCUAAAUGUGAGGCUGAGUCCAAAUACCUCUCUGGUUCGGGUAUUGCAUGCCAACAAGAAGCUAUUGUGGAUGGGUUCAGACAUAUCAAGACCGGCCACUAGAUACAAGUUUAUUCCCCACCACAACAGCAACAAGGUGGCCCCCAUCCCAUGGAUGCAUGUCUGUAGUACUUUAAGUUGAAAAGUAGUGAGUAUAUGGAUUUGAAGAAAACAACCUAGAAACAGUUCUUAGUUUAUAUAUAUAGUCAUUUCCCCAUGUAACUUUUAUAUAUAGGUUUUGAUUAGAAGCUUCCGUCUUUAAUUAGUAUUUAAAUUUGAAUACUUAUGUAUGGAUUUUGGAUUAUUAUUGUUAAUAUCAUUUAGUUUUACAUUUUUU
Molecule: long non-coding RNA, 1240 nt
Organism: Helianthus annuus (common sunflower)
Lineage: Eukaryota; Viridiplantae; Streptophyta; Magnoliopsida; Asterales; Asteraceae
Exons: 7
Source: RefSeq, a predicted model, not a curated record